UGGGGAAUUUUCCGCAAUGGGCGAAAGCCUGACGGAGCAAUACCGCGUGAGGGAGGAAGGCUCUUGGGUUGUAAACCUCUUUUCUCAGGGAAGAACAAAAUGACGGUACCUGAGGAAUAAGCAUCGGCUAACUCCGUGCCAGCAGCCGCGGUAAUACGGAGGAUGCAAGCGUUAUCCGGAAUGAUUGGGCGUAAAGGGUCCGCAGGUGGCAUUGUAAGUCUGCUGUUAAAGAGUUUGGCUCAACCAAAUAAAAGCAGUGGAAACUACAAAGCUAGAGUAUGGUCGGGGCAGAGGGAAUUCCUGGUGUAGCGGUGAAAUGCGUAGAUAUCAGGAAGAACACCCGGUGGCGAAGGCGCUCUGCUAGGCC
This 367-nucleotide ribosomal RNA is filed under the name uncultured cyanobacterium. Its description in RNAcentral is "bacterial SSU rRNA". It matches the Rfam family "Bacterial small subunit ribosomal RNA", at positions 355 to 735 of the family's 1533-position model. Lineage: Bacteria; Bacillati; Cyanobacteriota. The record is from RNAcentral.